Molecule: ribosomal RNA, 494 nt
Filed under: uncultured bacterium
Lineage: Bacteria
Description: partial 16S ribosomal RNA
Rfam family: Bacterial small subunit ribosomal RNA
Source: RNAcentral
GACGAACGCAGGCGGCGCGCUUAACACAUGCAAGUCGAACGGAAAGGCCUGCUUUCCCUUGUGGAUUGCGGGUACUCGAGUGGCGAACGGGUGAGUAACACGUGAGUGAUCUGCCCCCAACUUGGGUAUAAGCCUGGGAAACUGGGUCUAAUUACCGAUAGGACUGCAGGGUGGUGCCUGUGGUGGAAAACGAUUUUCUAGUGGUUGGGGAUGAGCUCGCGGCCUAUCAGCUUGUUGGUGGGGUAAUGGCCUACCAAGGCGGCGACGGGUAGCCGGCCUGAGAGGGUGGACGGCCACAUUGGGACUGAGAUACGGCCCAGACGCCGACGGGAGGCAGCAGUGGGGAAUAUUGCACGAUGGGCGGAAGCCUGAUGCAGCGACGCCGCGUGGGGGAUGACGGCCUGCGGGUUGUAAACUCCUGUCGAGCGCGAGGAAGCCACCUGGUUGGAAGGGUGGUGACGGUAGUGGUAGAAGAAGCACCGGCUAACUACGUG